This 305-nucleotide ribosomal RNA is filed under the name uncultured bacterium. RNAcentral describes it as "bacterial SSU rRNA". It matches the Rfam family "Bacterial small subunit ribosomal RNA", at positions 337 to 658 of the family's 1533-position model. The record is from RNAcentral.
UCCUACGGGGGGCAGCAGUGGGGAAUAUUGCACAAUGGGCGAAAGCCUGAUGCAGCAACGCCGCGUGAAGGAAGACGGUUUUCGGAUUGUAAACUUCUGUUCUUAGUGAAGAAUAAUGACGGUAACUAAGGAGCAAGCCACGGCUAACUACGUGCCAGCAGCCGCGGUAAUACGUAGGGGGCAAGCGUUAUCCGGAUUUACUGGGUGUAAAGGGAGCGUAGACGGCAUGGCAAGUCUGAUGUGAAAACCCGGGGCUCAACCCCGGGACUGCAUUGGAAACUGUCAGGCUAGAGUGUCGGAGAGGG